CUAAUUCUGUAUCAGACUUCAGUACAAAUAUCUUCACAGUUAAGAAUACCCACCCCGUUUUGUUAUCAUUAUUAUUUUUUUACCUCAGACUUGAAAUGGGUGAGAUGAAGAUAGUAAACGACAACAUGACUUUCUUUUAACAGCACCUUGAAAAAAUACACUGCACUAGCAAAGGCAUUAAGAGGGGGAGAAAAGCCUUCAGACCCAAUGGUUAUAGGGCCCCGCAACGUGUGUGAGAGCAUAAGGGGACACGGUGACAACAUUGUCAUGGGUUAAUGUUAAUGCUUUAUGAGAAGGAAUUUGGUUCAAUUCAUUUACUUCAGAGGACUGUUCUGGACCUUCAUUAGCU
RNAcentral lists this long non-coding RNA (349 nucleotides) under Homo sapiens (human). RNAcentral describes it as "non-protein coding lnc-SLC25A16-2:1". The record is from RNAcentral. Lineage: Eukaryota; Metazoa; Chordata; Mammalia; Primates; Hominidae.